This 97-nucleotide microRNA precursor is filed under the name Nicotiana sylvestris (wood tobacco). Its description in RNAcentral is "MIR6152 microRNA precursor family". It matches the Rfam family "MIR6152 microRNA precursor family". Lineage: Eukaryota; Viridiplantae; Streptophyta; Magnoliopsida; Solanales; Solanaceae. The record is from Rfam by way of RNAcentral.
UGGACAGAUUAUUGUAUUCGACUGUAUUCACAGCGUGAAAUAGGGGAUUACACUGUUUUUAAAACGAAAAGUGAAUCAAUUAACAUAAUAGACUCCU